AGUCGAGCGAGUCUGCCUUGAAGAUCGGAGUGCUUGCACUCUGUGAAACAAGAUACAGGCUAGCGGCGGACGGGUGAGUAACACGUGGGUAACCUGCCCAAGAGAUCGGGAUAACACCUGGAAACAGAUGCUAAUACCGGAUAAUAACAGAUGAUGCCUAUCAACUGUUUAAAAGAUGGUUCUGCUAUCACUCUUGGAUGGACCUGCGGUGCAUUAGCUAGUUGGUAGGGUAACGGCCUACCAAGGCGAUGAUGCAUAGCCGAGUUGAGAGACUGAUCGGCCACAUUGGGACUGAGACACGGCCCAAACUCCUACGGGAGGCAGCAGUAGGGAAUCUUCCACAAUGGACGCAAGUCUGAUGGAGCAACGCCGCGUGAGUGAAGAAGGGUUUCGGCUCGUAAAGCUCUGUUGUUGGUGAAGAAGGACAGGGGUAGUAACUGACCUUUGUUUGACGGUAAUCAAUUAGAAAGUCACGGCUAACUACGUGCCAGCAGCCGCGGUAAUACGUAGGUGGCAAGCGUUGUCCGGAUUUAUUGGGCGUAAAGCGAGUGCAGGCGGUUCGAUAAGUCUGAUGUGAAAGCCUUCGGCUCAACCGGAGAAUUGCAUCAGAAACUGUCGAGCUUGAGUACAGAAGAGGAGAGUGGAACUCCAUGUGUAGCGGUGAAAUGCGUAGAUAUAUGGAAGAACACCGGUGGCGAAGGCGGCUCUCUGGUCUGUUACUGACGCUGAGGCUCGAAAGCAUGGGUAGCGAACAGGAUUAGAUACCCUGGUAGUCCAUGCCGUAAACGAUGAGUGCUAAGUGUUGGGAGGU
This 811-nucleotide ribosomal RNA is filed under the name uncultured bacterium. RNAcentral describes it as "bacterial SSU rRNA". It matches the Rfam family "Bacterial small subunit ribosomal RNA", at positions 60 to 831 of the family's 1533-position model. The record is from RNAcentral.